GAUGAACGCUGGCGGCGUGCCUAAUACAUGCAAGUCGAGCGAACAGAUGAGGCGCUUGCUCCUCUGACGUUAGCGGCGGACGGGUGAGUAACACGUGGAUAACCUACCUAUCAGACUGGGAUCACUUCGGGAAACCGGAGCUAAUACCGGAUAAUAUCUUGAACCGCAUGGUUCAAUAGUGAAAGACGGUUUUGCUGUCACUUCUAGAUGGAUCCGCGCCGCAUUAGCUAGUUGGUAAGGUAACGGCUUACCAAGGCAACGAUGCGUAGCCGACCUGAGAGGGUGAUCGGCCACACUGGAACUGGGACACGGUCCAGACUCCUACGGGAGGCAGCAGUAGGGAAUCUUCCGCAAUGGGCGAAAGCCUGACGGAGCAACGCCGCGUGAGUGAUGAAGGUCUUCGGAUCGUAAAACUCUGUUAUUAGGGAAGAACAAAUGUGUAAGUAACUAUGCACGUCUUGACGGUACCUAAUCAGAAAGCCACGGCUAACUACGUG
This 497-nucleotide ribosomal RNA is filed under the name uncultured bacterium. RNAcentral describes it as "partial 16S ribosomal RNA". It matches the Rfam family "Bacterial small subunit ribosomal RNA", at positions 28 to 507 of the family's 1533-position model. The record is from RNAcentral.